This 496-nucleotide ribosomal RNA is filed under the name uncultured bacterium. Its description in RNAcentral is "partial 16S ribosomal RNA". It matches the Rfam family "Bacterial small subunit ribosomal RNA", at positions 28 to 507 of the family's 1533-position model. The record is from RNAcentral.
GAUGAACGCUGGCGGCGUGCCUAAUACAUGCAAGUCGAGCGAACAGACGAGGAGCUUGCUCCUCUGACGUUAGCGGCGGACGGGUGAGUAACACGUGGAUAACCUACCUAUAAGACUGGGAUAACUUCGGGAAACCGGAGCUAAUACCGGAUAAUAUAUUGAACCGCAUGGUUCAAUAGUGAAAGACGGUUUUGCUGUCACUUAUAGAUGGAUCCGCGCCGCAUUAGCUAGUUGGUAAGGUAACGGCUUACCAAGGCAACGAUGCGUAGCCGACCUGAGAGGGUGAUCGGCCACACUGGAACUGAGACACGGUCCAGACUCCUACGGGAGGCAGCAGUAGGGAAUCUUCCGCAAUGGGCGAAAGCUUGACGGAGCAACGCCGCGUGAGUGAUGAAGGUCUUCGGAUCGUAAAACUCUGUUAUUAGGGAAGAACAAAUGUGUAAGUAACUAUGCACGUCUUGACGGUACCUAAUCAGAAAGCCACGGCAACUACGUG